ACUCGUUUAGCUUAAUAGGAUAAAGCAUUAACCUUCUAAGUUAAGGAGUAUAGGUUCAAAUCCUAUAACGAGUA
RNAcentral lists this transfer RNA (74 nucleotides) under Neoconidiobolus thromboides. Its description in RNAcentral is "Conidiobolus thromboides tRNA-Arg". It matches the Rfam family "tRNA". From Rfam's summary of the family: Transfer RNA (tRNA) molecules are approximately 80 nucleotides in length. The record is from RNAcentral. Lineage: Eukaryota; Fungi; Entomophthoromycota; Entomophthoromycetes; Entomophthorales; Neoconidiobolaceae.